Non-coding RNA from Phodopus roborovskii (desert hamster), 73 nucleotides. Lineage: Eukaryota; Metazoa; Chordata; Mammalia; Rodentia; Cricetidae. The record is from the annotation of a RefSeq genome assembly.
GCCCAGCUAGCUCAGUCGGUAUAGCAUGGGACUCUUAAUCCCAGGAUCGUGGGUUCAGGCCCCACGUUGGACG